Non-coding RNA from Nicotiana tabacum (common tobacco), 812 nucleotides. The record is from RefSeq and is a predicted model, not a curated record. Lineage: Eukaryota; Viridiplantae; Streptophyta; Magnoliopsida; Solanales; Solanaceae.
GAAAAUACAAAAAGCCUGGGAACUUCAAAUUUUGAGGAUUCCAAGUUGAACUGCUCCAAUUGGUCAACAAUCUGUGUGCAUUUUUCAAAACGGGGUUGACUUGAAGAGAACGAGUGCAAGCUAAGAUAGUUCAUGUGAUCCGAUGUUUGGCAAAAUUGCGAGUAUUUGAUCGUUUGCAUGACAUAAUUAGACACUUUUUACCAAAAGGUGAGCAAUUAGAUCUUCAUAAAAUGACUUUUUUUGGUCAACUUAAAGUAAAAUAUUCUUAUGAUUAAUUAUUUCUUUAUUUCUUAUUUGGAAUUAUGGAGUAGUUCCUAUUGUUGUAAUCUUUAAGGAUAGAUAAAAAUAUAUCGAUAUUUUAUCCUUGAAUGAAUAAUUUUAAAAUAUAGUGGAAUGUUUCUUCCAGUUUCCCGCUGAUAAGCUAGAGGGUCUAUAAAAGCUUGACGAAAAAGUAAAGUUUUGAACUUUACCAAGGUUUAUCAAUGAUGCGUAUGUACCAUGCUUAUUCAGAUCAUGUUAACAAUAGCAAGUAAACAUAAUUCUUCCCUUUAAAUACACAUUCAAAUUUUGGUGGAUCUUCUGACUAUAUGUGAAGAAAUUACCAACCUUUUGAGUGGAUCUCUUUGAUAGAAAAAAAUACUUUUGCACAAGUUCAUGUAUGUGUAUAUUAUAAUUGCCUGGUCUAGGACUAUGAUAAAUAUCCUUUGCUCAUAAAGUCUUGGAUAUGCACCAUGCUAGAAGAUUUCUUCUUAGUGAUCUAGAUCGACCCAGCAAAUUAAAGUAUUUAUAGACUUAGAGAACCUAUCAUGGAU